Molecule: ribosomal RNA, 825 nt
Filed under: uncultured bacterium
Lineage: Bacteria
Description: bacterial SSU rRNA
Rfam family: Bacterial small subunit ribosomal RNA
Source: RNAcentral
GCUCAGAACGAACGCUGGCGGCGUGCCUAACACAUGCAAGUCGAGGGAGAACGCCGCAAGGUGAGUAACCAGGCGAACGGGUGCGUAACACGUGGAUAAUCUACCUCGAUGACUGGGACAACUGGCCGAACGGCUUGCUAAUACCAGAUAAGCCAACGCCGUCUUCGGACGGAGAGGGAACAGGCGGCCUCUGUAUACAAGCUGUCACAUCGAGAUGAGUCCGCGGCCAAUCAGCUAGUUGGCGGGGUAACAGCCAACCAAGGCUACCAGGAUUAGCUGGUCUGAGAGGAUGAUCAGGGACCCUGGAACUGAGACACGGUCCAGACUCCUACGGGAGGCAGCAGUGGGGAAUCUUGCGCAAUGGGCGAACGCCUGACGCAGUAACGCCGCGUGUGUGAUGAAGGUCUUCGGAUCGUAACGCACUGUCGCGAGGGAAGAUACGCUACGAGUUAACAUCUCGGAGUUAAGACGGUACCUCGAGAGGAAGCACCGGCUAACUCUGUGCCAGCAGCCGCGGUAAUACAGAGGGUGCGAGUGUUGUUCGGAAUUAUUGGGCGUAACGCGCUUGUAGGCGGCUUGUCGAGUCUCGUGUGAACUGGACCGGCUUAACCUGGGAAGUGCGCGAGAACCUAGCGAGUUUGAGUGCCGGAGAGGGUCGCGGAAUUCCAGGUGUAGAGGUGAACUUCGUAGAUAUCGGGAGGAACACCAGUGGCGAAGGCGGCGACCUGGACAGACACUGACGCUGAGACGCGAACGCGUGGGGAGUAACCAGGAUUAGAUACCAUGGUAGUCCACGCUGUAACCGAUGGGUGCUAGCUGUGGUGG